Molecule: ribosomal RNA, 592 nt
Filed under: Stauridiosarsia ophiogaster
Lineage: Eukaryota; Metazoa; Cnidaria; Hydrozoa; Anthoathecata; Corynidae
Description: partial 16S ribosomal RNA
Rfam family: Bacterial large subunit ribosomal RNA
Source: RNAcentral
GAGGUGUAACCUGCCCAAUGAUUAUAAAUUAGAAAAUAUUAAAAUUAUUUGAAUAUAAUUUAAAGGACGCGGUAUCUUGACCGUGAUAAUGUAGCAUAAUCACUCGCCAUUUAAUUGAUGGAUAGUAUGAAUGGUUGAACGAAUAUAACACUGUCUCAGAUAAAAACCAUAUAAAAUUGGAAUAAUAGUAAAGAUACUAUUUUAAAUUGUAAGACGAAAAGACCCUAUAGAGCUUAACUAUUACUCUUUUAUAAGAAAAAAUAAAUUUAUUUAUGAAAUUAAAAGAUAGGUAGUUUAGUUGGGGCGACUACUUUCUAAAAACAACGAAAGUAAGCAAAAAUUAAUUAAAUAAUUAACUGUAUAAUCAAUUUAUUUAACAGUUAUUAAUGUAGGCUAUAAUGACCCGUUUUAAUUAAAGAAUACAAUAAAACGAUCAAUAAAUAAAAGCUACCUUAGGGAUAACAGGAUAAUUUUAUCCUAGAGAUCUAAUCGAAGAUAAAGUUUGUCACCUCUAUGUUGAAUUAAGGUAUCCUAAUAGUGCAGCAGCUAUUAAAGGUAGGUCUGUUCGACCUUUAAAACCUUACAUGAUUUG